This is an RNA transcript of Helicoverpa armigera (cotton bollworm), 2103 nucleotides long. RefSeq lists it as uncharacterized. The transcript has 2 exons. Lineage: Eukaryota; Metazoa; Arthropoda; Insecta; Lepidoptera; Noctuidae. The record is from RefSeq and is a predicted model, not a curated record.
AAAUGUUAAGGUAUUUUUUUGAGGACCGAUAAAUUAUUUAUUAUCCGUGUAUUUACUUUAGGUGCGCUGCAAAUGGCGCACAAUUUGCUGCGGACUUUUUGUCUGCUGUAAAGACAUUUUGUGUGCAAAAAGUUCGUUGUCUCCGUUGCAGCUUACAGUACCUAUUGGUUAUAAACUUAUCAGGUUCCCUAAAUGUAAGUCUACGCUGACUAUCUCAAUUGACAUCAAUUAAACUCGUGAACUUAGUAAUUUGAUAGACUAUCUACUAACCAGUAUCGCAUUGAACAGGAUUGCACAUAGUUGGUGUUGAUAUUCCAGUAGGUAUUUCCCACUUUAUGUCAUGUCGCUUUAAUCAAAUGUCAUUUAAUUGAGGACUUCGGUGAAUACAACGCAUUAAACUACUAGUGUAGUACAUAGAGGUGUACCAGGAACUAUUUUAAAGGCUGUAUGUAAUUAUAUUCAAAGUUAAGAAAAAUAAGGAGCUUUUCUUAUACUGCGCAAAGGUUUUUGGUAUGAAUGAUUGGCACCUAUGAAGUCACAACCAGCAUAAUAUUGUCAGGCCCUGGUUAUACAAUUGGAUUAAAUUAUACGCUGAAUUACAAUAUUUAAAAUGCUUUUUUAUUUAUCAGUCAUAUUGGCGAUUUUUCGUAUUAUUUGUUAUGACUGAUUGAUUAAUUUUAUCUUAUAAAUUGUACCGCUUGUACCUAGUGUGAUAUUUUACACGUGAUGUAAUAAUUAAAAUGUCAUGCUCCUUUUUUAGUGGAAUAUAAUGAUUUCAUUUCAUAUUAAAGUUCAACCUGUUUGUUGUUUGCAAUCAGACAUUCAUAAUUGCAAUAAACAUUAUUUUAAUUGUAAAAGGAGUUUUUUAUUUUAAACCGCUGACGAAAUAUCGCCGCAACCUGUGCAUCUGAGUUUCGAAGCGGAAGCACUGUUUGGAUCAAAGUACUUUCAUACCUUCAUCGUCGAGAAAACAAUACCUCCGACCAUCGACCUUUAAUGUAUUUGUACUUACCUACAUGUUUACCAUGUUUUUGACACACACUUCCUAUUUUAUACUCUGGCGAACCCCUGUCAUGUGAAAUCGUUUGACAGUUCGUACCACCAAGUUGAAAUUUUUGCCGAUAUUAAUAUCAUAAAUAUGUAUUUAUCAAACAAUACAACGAAAUGUUUUCAAUGUUUGGGUUAUUUAUAUUUGUGAUUCUUACGAUACCUUAUCUAAGUUGUUAAUUGAUAACAGUAUCGAGAGCUCGACAGGUAAAUACCUAAAAAUAACUCACUUCAGUCAAAAUAUACUUCGGUUAAGUUACCUAAAGGACAAAGUUCAACGACCAAGUUCUCGAGACGCAAAACUCUUUAUUAAUUAAAUAUCGAUAAUUAUUUAGCUUUAAGGCAAUAAUUAAAAUUAUUUAUAUGCCUCAAUAUUGAAGAGGAAAAUUAUCGAUUCUCUGUUAUCGAUAGGAUACGAUAAAACAUAAACAUACGAGAUAACACCUAGGAGGUACUUAGUGAGAGUACCUAUAUGUUAGAGUACUAAUUGUAUUAUUUUAGUUCAGAAGCAGACACUGUAACGAACAGUUGACUUUAUUGUAAAAAUUGAAUUUCUUCUAAAAUAUGCCACCGCCCCACGGCCCUCCACACCACGGACCCCCACAUCAUGGGCCUCCACAUCACGGACCGCCGCAUCAUGGACCGCCCCACCACGGACCACCCCACCAUGGUCCACCCCACCACGGACCACCCCAUCAUGGUCCACCACACCACGGUCCGCCUCAUCACGGACCACACCAUGGUCCACCCCACCACGGUCCGCCUCAUUUCGGACCACCCCAUUGGAGGUGAAGAGGGCAAAACAAUCACAAUUGAGAAUCAUACUCUAAUUAAAUAAAACUAAGAUACCUAUCAUGAAAAUUUUAUUUUUAAUUACAAAAGUUAAUCGCUGACUUCACGGUAAAUUAAGAUCCCAGGAAUAAGGAUAAAAAUGUUAAUGUUGUUUUUAAAUUAAACUUGGAACAGUUGAUGUACUUAAUUUAAUUAAAUACCUAUAAAAAUUCAACUGGCUAUUAAUUAUUAAGACAUAUCGAAUAAAAUAUUACAUUGCAAAAA